CAGGACUCUGUGAGACAGCAGGAGGACAGAGGACAGGUGAGGACAGGUGUGGAGAGGACAGGUGAGGAGAGGUGAGGACAGGUGAGGACAGGACAGAGAGGACAGGUGAGGAGAGGUGAGGACAGAAGAGGACAGGUGAGGACAGGUGAGGACAGGAGAGGACAGGAGAGGAGAGGUGAGGACAGAGAGGAUAGGUGAGGACAGAGAGGAUAGGUGAGGACAGAGAGGAUAGGUGAGGACAGGUGAGGACAGAGAGGAUAGGUGAGGACAGGUGAGGACAGAGAGGAUAGGUGAGGACAGGUGAGGACAGAGAGGAUAGGUGAGGACAGAGAGGAUAGGUGAGGACAGGUGAGGACAGAGAGGAUAGGUGAGGACAGAGAGGACAGGUGAGGACAGAGAGGAUAGGUGAGGACAGGUGAGGACAGAGAGGAUAGGUGAGGACAGAGAGGAUAGGUGAGGACAGGUGAGGACAGAGAGGAUAGGUGAGGACAGGUGAGGACAGAGAGGACAGGUGAGGACAGAGAGGAUAGGUGAGGACAGAGAGGACAGGUGAGGACAGGAGAGGAUAGGUGAGGACAGGUGAGGACAGAGAGGAUAGGUGAGGACAGGUGAGGACAGGAGAGGAUAGGUGAGGAUAGGUGAGGACAGGUGAGGACAGGUGAGGACAGAGAGGAUAGGU
Long non-coding RNA from Dicentrarchus labrax (European seabass), 679 nucleotides. RefSeq lists it as uncharacterized. NCBI's taxonomy places the organism in Eukaryota, Metazoa, Chordata, Actinopteri, Moronidae. The transcript is spliced from 3 exons. The record is from RefSeq and is a predicted model, not a curated record.